Molecule: ribosomal RNA, 940 nt
Filed under: Staphylococcus pseudintermedius
Lineage: Bacteria; Bacillati; Bacillota; Bacilli; Caryophanales; Staphylococcaceae
Description: partial 23S ribosomal RNA
Rfam family: Bacterial large subunit ribosomal RNA
Source: RNAcentral
GAGGGAAAGGUGAAAAGUACCCCGGAAGGGGAGUGAAAGAGAACUUGAAACCGUGUGCUUACAAGUAGUCAGAGCCCGUUAAUGGGUGAUGGCGUGCCUUUUGUAGAAUGAACCGGCGAGUUACGAUCUGAUGCAAGGUUAAGCAGAAAAUGUGGAGCCGUAGCGAAAGCGAGUCUGAAUAGGGCGAAUGAGUAUUUGGUCGUAGACCCGAAACCAGGUGAUCUACCCUUGGUCAGGUUGAAGUUCAGGUAACACUGAAUGGAGGACCGAACCGACUUACGUUGAAAAGUGAGCGGAUGAACUGAGGGUAGCGGAGAAAUUCCAAUCGAACUUGGAGAUAGCUGGUUCUCUCCGAAAUAGCUUUAGGGCUAGCCUCAAGUGAUGAUUAUUGGAGGUAGAGCACUGUUUGGACGAGGGGCCCCUCUCGGGUUACCGAAUUCAGACAAACUCCGAAUGCCAAAUAAUUUAACUUGGGAGUCAGAAUGUGGGUGAUAAGGUCCAUAUUCGAAAGGGAAACAGCCCAGACCACCAGCUAAGGUCCCAAAAUAUAUGUUAAGUGGAAAAGGAUGUGGCGUUGCCCAGACAACUAGGAUGUUGGCUUAGAAGCAGCCAUCAUUUAAAGAGUGCGUAAUAGCUCACUAGUCGAGUGACACUGCGCCGAAAAUGUACCGGGGCUAAACAUAUUACCGAAGCUGUGGAUUGUCCUUUGGACAAUGGUAGGAGAGCGUUCUAAGGGCGUUGAAGCAUGAUCGCAAGGACAUGUGGAGCGCUUAGAAGUGAGAAUGCCGGUGUGAGUAGCGAAAGACGGGUGAGAAUCCCGUCCACCGAUUGACUAAGGUUUCCAGAGGAAGGCUCGUCCGCUCUGGGUUAGUCGGGUCCUAAGCUGAGGCCGACAGGCGUAGGCGAUGGAUAACAGGUUGAUAUUCCUGUACCACCAUUA